CACGUAGGCACCAAGCGUUGUCCGGAUUUAUUGGGCGUAAAGAGCUCGUAGGCGGUUCGUCGCGUCGGCUGUGAAAUCCCGAGGCUCAACCCCGGGCCUGCAUUCGAUACGGGCAGACUAGAGUUCGGUAGGGGAGUCUGGAAUUCCUGGUGUAGCGGUGAAAUGCGCAGAUAUCAGGAGGAACACCGGUGGCGAAGGCGGGACUCUGGGCCGAUACUGACGCUGAGGAGCGAAAGCGUGGGAGCAAACAGG
This 252-nucleotide ribosomal RNA is filed under the name uncultured bacterium. RNAcentral describes it as "partial 16S ribosomal RNA". It matches the Rfam family "Bacterial small subunit ribosomal RNA", at positions 524 to 776 of the family's 1533-position model. The record is from RNAcentral.